GGCUGCCUUCUCCUGCCUCAGAACCACUGCUGUAUGAACCCGCUUGCACAGGAGAAGCAGCUUGAAGGAAUGAGACCACAGGGAGAAAAAGGGGGCAGGAAGGCCUUGGAUAACCCAGGCCUGUGCUCAAACCACUUCAGAGAGCUCUCAGGGCUCCUUGCAGAUGCGGCGAGUUCCUGCAGAUUCAGCUCCUGCACUGCCCACGUCCAAAUCUGGGCCUUUGAAAGGACAGCAUAGCUUCGUGCCAGAGACCUAGGGGACAGAGGUGCUGCCUCCUGGUGAAGGAGAAGAGCUAGGAGACCUACUGGAGCAGUAGACCACCGUAGAGAUCAGGUGGGUACAGCCAGCAAGCAGAGCAGCACAUCAAACAUCAGGCUUUGUUACAAGGGGUAGUCCUGUACCACAAACCCCAGGUCCGUUUCACGCCAGCGUUAGGGGAUUUGAUUUCUGCAUAACGCACAAAUCUAGGUUUCUUUGAGAAGAUAAAGACCUUUUGCCCCUAAUGGGUCGCCUUCUGCAAACAUCCAUCCUUACAAGUACAAAAUGUCCUUUCUGUUGUUCCUCUCUGAGUCAGGAUUGCCUCAAACACCCCAGAGUAAGCAGCCCCUUACCCCCUUACCAUUGGUGUCGGAGAAAAGCUGGACCAGAAACAGUUUUCUGUGGGGAGGGUGCAGCUUUUGGAGAUGAUUGGAAUGAAACAAAUCCCCUAUGAAUUAAUUGAAAGGGUCAAUGUCUGUAGUUAAUCAGUUGAAAUUGCCUAUCGUUAUCCAGCUGUGUCUUUCAUGUCAGCUAGAAGACAUCUGGGAGGCAGCAGCCAUCAGUGAACAACGUGAGAGGCCUUGGGCUCAGUGUAUGUGCGCCGCAGAGCUCAGCUGCACCUUGAGAAGAUUGUCCCAGGGAUGAUAUUCUGGUUUUACGCUGCCAUUGCUCUCCUGUUCAGCCUGGUGUGAGGUGGCCACCAGGCUCCCCCAGGUGUCUCCUGACCAGAGCAGCUCCUGGAUGGAGAAAUUCACCCCACUUCACACAUGUCGUCUCCCGAGGGCUGUUUGUCCACCUCCUGCCUUGCUGGAGAGGAUACCAAGGGAGAGAUGGUGACUGGAAGAGGAGAGGUGCUCUGAAACAGAAACAGGACAACCAGUGUUGCCUGCCAGCGGUGAGGGCUUCUCCAACCUUUUCCAAUACUUCUCCAAGCUUCCCAAGCCAGAAAAUAACAGCUGAGGCCCUCAGCUCCCAGGAAAAGAUGUUUUUUCAGUGGACAGAGGAUUACAGAGUGUCCGAAGCUCUGACACUGCCAGGGAUUUUGCAUUACCGCGCCUGA
RNAcentral lists this long non-coding RNA (1318 nucleotides) under Anser brachyrhynchus (Pink-footed goose). Its description in RNAcentral is "lncRNA (ENSABRG00000021905.1)". The record is from RNAcentral. Lineage: Eukaryota; Metazoa; Chordata; Aves; Anseriformes; Anatidae.